Molecule: transfer RNA, 67 nt
Filed under: Pseudothioglobus singularis (SeqCode)
Lineage: Bacteria; Pseudomonadati; Pseudomonadota; Gammaproteobacteria; Pseudothioglobaceae (SeqCode)
Also listed under: 1 other name
Rfam family: tRNA
About the family: Transfer RNA (tRNA) molecules are approximately 80 nucleotides in length. Their secondary structure includes four short double-helical elements and three loops (D, anti-codon, and T loops).
Source: RNAcentral
GGGAAUAGCUCAGUUGGUAGAGCCCCGGAUUGUGAUUCCGGUUGUCGCGGGUUCGAGCCCCGUUUCU